RNAcentral lists this long non-coding RNA (822 nucleotides) under Olea europaea subsp. europaea. Lineage: Eukaryota; Viridiplantae; Streptophyta; Magnoliopsida; Lamiales; Oleaceae. The record is from RNAcentral.
CAACAACAUAAAGAAACUCAAAAAUGGACAGCAAUCCAAAGUAUAAGAGGAAAUUUGUAUAUUGAUAACAAACAAUUGAGAACAAAGACCACAGCAAAUCAAUCAUCAAAAUGAAAACUCACUUAGUAAAUAUAACCAAAUUAUAUCCACGGAAAACAAAAGACUACAAGAAAACUAUCAUUCCCUCACGAGCAACAACUCUCACAAAUUGAAUCAGAGGAAUAAAAGUAAUAAAUCAAAAGAAAAUCACAGUUACCAUAAAAUGAAAAAAUCACAAAAUUCUAGGGCAUAAUUUAAAUACUUCCAUAAUAAAAAUUAAAAGGUACAUCUAUAUCUAACAACGCAAGCAAGAUCCAAAUAAGAAUUUGUUGGGGGAAAAAAAUGAAUCCACUCAAACUGAAACAGACGAAAUAAGUCUGCUGUUAAUCAAUUAAACUACUCGGCGGACAGUAAAACCCAGAAAAAUCACAGAUAAGAUGAAUCGAUAUCCAACAAUUGAAGUAUGUGAGUCAAUAUUAUUAUAAAGAAAGGGGAGGAGGAGAAGAAAUGCAAAAGAAAAAAGAUAAGGAGGCCUGAAAGUCAAUAAUGUAAUUCCAAGCAAUACCCAUAUAACAUCUUUUAUAGAAACCAACAGUAUAAUAGUAAUAGAUUAAACAAACUGACCUUACUUGCAGACGAUUUUUUGGCGUUGUUUCCUUACCUGGAUCCAUGAAUAUACCUCAGCCAACGGCAGCAGCGCCAUAUGAAGUAGGCACUGGGCAGUGGAGAAAUUAGGCUUUCAGGCAUCCAUGAAUGAAAUUCCUCCACCGGCGGCGUAUUCUG